GACCUAAUAGCACAACCGGUAGUGCAUCUGCUCAAAAUGCACCGUUGGUAAAGAUUAGGCAGAAGACCUCCGUUCGAUUCGGGGUCGGGUCA
This is a non-coding RNA of Mycena metata, 92 nucleotides long. Lineage: Eukaryota; Fungi; Basidiomycota; Agaricomycetes; Agaricales; Mycenaceae. The record is from the annotation of a GenBank genome assembly.